RNAcentral lists this ribosomal RNA (511 nucleotides) under uncultured Glomus. RNAcentral's name for it is "SSU rRNA". It matches the Rfam family "Eukaryotic small subunit ribosomal RNA", at positions 569 to 1083 of the family's 1831-position model. The record is from RNAcentral. Lineage: Eukaryota; Fungi; Glomeromycota; Glomeromycetes; Glomerales; Glomeraceae.
AGCAGCCGCGGUAAUUCCAGCUCCAAUAGCGUAUAUUAAAGUUGUUGCAGUUAAAAAGCUCGUAGUUGAAUUUCGGGAUCAGUAUGUUGGUCGUGCUUCGGUACGUACUGUCAUUACUGGUUUCUACCUUCUGAAGAACCUUGAUGUCAUUAAUUUGGUGUCUUGGGGAAUCAGGACUGUUACUUUGAAAAAAUUAGAGUGUUUAAAGCAAGCAUACGCUUGAAUACAUUAGCAUGGAAUAAUGAAAUAGGACGUUUGAUUCUAUUUUGUUGGUUUCUAGGAUCGACGUAAUGAUUAAUAGGGAUAGUUGGGGGCAUUAGUAUUCAAUUGUCAGAGGUGAAAUUCUUGGAUUUAUUGAAGACUAACUACUGCGAAAGCAUUUGCCAAGGAUGUUUUCAUUAAUCAAGAACGAAAGUUAGGGGAUCGAAGACGAUCAGAUACCGUCGUAGUCUUAACCAUAAACUAUGCCGCCUAGGGAUCGGAUGAUGUUAUUUUUAAUGUACUCAUUCGG